GACGAACGCUGGCGGCGUGCUUAACACAUGCAAGUCGAACGGUGAAGGGACCGGUUUUUGCUGGUUCUGGAUGAGUGGCGAACGGGUGAGUAACACGUGAGUAACCUGCCCCCUUCUUCUGUAUAACCGCAUGAAAGUGUGGCUAAUACGGGAUAUUCUGCGCCUGCUGCAUGGUUGGUGUGGGAAAGUUAUUGUUUCGGCGGGGGAUGGGCUCGCGGCCUAUCUGCUUGUUGGUGGGGUGAUGGCCUACCAAGGCGGUGACUGGUAGCCCGCCCGGGAGGGUGGACGGUCCCGGUAGGGAGGAGCGGCCGAGCAGCCUCCUAGAGGCAGCAGUAGUGAAGAAUAUAGCACAGUGGGAGGCCGGCUGAAGCAGCGCCGCGGCGUGGAGGAUGGUCGCCGUCGGGUUAUACACCUCUUUCGCGAGUGAAGCAGGCCGGUCUCUUUUGUGGGUGGGUUGACGGUAGCUAGAUAAGAAGCGCCGGCUAACUACGUG
RNAcentral lists this ribosomal RNA (493 nucleotides) under uncultured bacterium. Its description in RNAcentral is "partial 16S ribosomal RNA". It matches the Rfam family "Bacterial small subunit ribosomal RNA", at positions 28 to 507 of the family's 1533-position model. The record is from RNAcentral.